Molecule: ribosomal RNA, 446 nt
Filed under: uncultured bacterium
Lineage: Bacteria
Description: SSU rRNA
Rfam family: Bacterial small subunit ribosomal RNA
Source: RNAcentral
AGAGCGAACGCUGGCGGCAGGCUUAACACAUGCAAGUCGAGCGCCCCGCAAGGGGAGCGGCAGACGGGUGAGUAACGCGUGGGAACGUACCUUUUGGUUCGGAACAACACAGGGAAACUUGUGCUAAUACCGGAUAAGCCCUUACGGGGAAAGAUUUAUCGCCGAAAGAUCGGCCCGCGUCUGAUUAGCUAGUUGGUGAGGUAACGGCUCACCAAGGCGACGAUCAGUAGCUGGUCUGAGAGGAUGAUCAGCCACAUUGGGACUGAGACACGGCCCAAACUCCUACGGGAGGCAGCAGUGGGGAAUAUUGGACAAUGGGCGCAAGCCUGAUCCAGCCAUGCCGCGUGAGUGAUGAAGGCCCUAGGGUUGUAAAGGCUACGUUUUAACGGGGAGUAUAAUGACGGUACCGUAGAAUAAGCCCCGGCUAACUUCGUGCCAGCAGCCGC